CUUCCGAAUUCUACUCUUAAAGUCCCGAUCACAUGUUGCAACAAUUAGCACUUGUGCCUGUUUCCUAGAAAAUAGUUUGCAUAAAUAAAAGGGGGAACACAAUAAAUAAGCAGCAAAUGUGUUUUAAUUAACAAAAUGGUUCACUUAAAUGAUUAUUGAAUAUACAUUGCAAAACCAAAGGAUUUGGGGGAGUUCCAUUACCAUAAAGAAUGAAGAGAGUAAUCCUCACUGAUACGUAUGUCUUGGUUAUGAAUUCAAUAUUGUGAUAAAAAAAUUGCUACAUUUUUCAUAGUUCCAAAUCACAACACUGGAGAGCAGAUAUAAAGAUAUGUUAUUACUACCAAUUAUUCAAUUUACAUCUCAGUGUAGAAAUAAUCAUUUGUUUACUGAUGUAGAUGACCAUAUACUGUUGAGAUCUAAAAAGAUAUCAUAAUCCCAAAUGGUAGGAAAUUUACAAGGUUCAGAAAAGUUUACCAUCAUCUUAUUAUGAAGGCUCUUGCCUUCACUGUUGAACAAAAAAUAAAUGAAAAUUUGUUUUACCAUUCCUCAGGAUCCUAAUUCAAGUAAAAAGAACAGUAAAUAGACUAUUUCUCAUCCAGCCUGAAGAGCCAUUUAUCAGUAAUCAAAUUGCUACCAGGUGCUUCUGGAAUUUAGCUCAAAAAAAAAAAAAAGACACCUGAGUAAAACUCUAAACAAGGCCGUUGUCAGCAUAGGUACAUUUAUUAGUAUUCUCUCAAAUUGAGGAUACUUGGCAAUUAUGUUAUGCAUAAAAGGGACAUAUAAAACCAUAGUAAUAUAACUUCUUUCCUCUACUAGAUUAAGAGACAACCUUCGUAAAUUUGUUUAAAAAGAUGUUAUUCCCUAGGUGAUUUAUUCAAAUUUGUACCUGAGCCCCUACUGAUCUGAUGAGAAUUUGAUAAAAGGUUGUGUGAGAAACAGACAUACACUACAAAAGUCUGCCAUACAUAACUGAAAUGCUUUAGUAUUUUUAUCCCGUAAUAGUGUUAGUGUUAGAUCAUGAACGUGAUAUGCAUUAGCGCAAGCUAUCUACAUACAAUUGUAAACAUAUCACAGACUGCAAAUUUGAACUGUGUAUUCCAUGGAAAAUUGCGUAUGUAUAACCAGAAUGAUCAUUUGUUUAAUUGAAAGAGAGAAACAAAAGGAAUAUAUUAAGGCAAAACAAAGCACACUCACUCUAAUCUGGAUUUAGAAAUUGGUAUCCAGCAAAAUCCGGUACGCAAGUUGCCGCAGAAUGACUAGGACUAAAUAAUACAAAUUCAAACCAACGGAGAAAGAGAGAAAGCAAUAAAUUCAGAACCAAUUAAAAGGGAAGGCAAGGAGUGAGAAUCGAACCUUAUUUGUCUCUGGGUAACUUUUCCUUCAUAAGAUUUUUCUUGAGUUCAAAACCUCUUCUUUGUAGCUGAAUUAGAUAGGAUUUCAAGAAUUGAUAAUAGAACAAAACCAAGAACAAUGAAGGAAUCAGCAUUCGGCGAGAGAAAGAAAAACCUAACCUAUAGAUUUUCCUGGAAGUGACAACCUUUUUCACAAUAGCAAACUUUGGUUCCUUUUUAGCUUUUUACCCAUUAUCAGCACAGAGAAGGGGAUAUAUUAUGCAAGACCCAGGCCAGAACCAUAUAUCAAUAUCAGAUAUUGCGUUUAAAUUCACAAAUGAACCACCUCCCAAAUUACCUAUUUCAUUAAACACCAUAAAAAUUUAAUUGAAAUAUCAGAAUACGAAUAAAAACACAGCAGAUUCAGUUUCUUAGCAUAGCAUCGAAAUUGAAUGUGCCCACUUCAUGAAACGGUGUUCAUGAUCAGGUUUCAAUGAAUUCACGUGCGUUAUUGAAAUUGAAAGAAUAUAAUUAAAAGCAACAAUAAAGUUCGGAAUUUGGUAAGAUGGCGCUGCUUCUAGUGCAUGGGUAGAGCAUCCAACAGAACAGAAAAAAGAAAAAAAAAAAAAACAAACAAAAUAACAUCAACGAAAAAAAUUCAGUAGGCAGAAGCUUUACUUGAGAGCUGAAGGAAUAGAACCUACAUGGGUGAGAGCAUUGGCACGUGAGAAAGUGAGAGCGACUGCAGGUUUGCCAUCAGGGGUAGAAUAGAUUGGCAGUCCAACGGUCCAUGGAAGAAGGAAAAUUGACGGGGAAAAUAAUACGAAGGACCAAUACUAAACCGAUUCAAUCACUUGUUACAAAACAAGAGAACGUGA
RNAcentral lists this small RNA (2209 nucleotides) under Vigna angularis var. angularis. Its description in RNAcentral is "Non-protein coding transcript". The record is from RNAcentral. Lineage: Eukaryota; Viridiplantae; Streptophyta; Magnoliopsida; Fabales; Fabaceae.